This 201-nucleotide unclassified non-coding RNA is filed under the name Hevea brasiliensis (rubber tree). The record is from RNAcentral. Lineage: Eukaryota; Viridiplantae; Streptophyta; Magnoliopsida; Malpighiales; Euphorbiaceae.
GCAUCAUUGAGAGCCUGGAGUUGGUUAAUAGAACUGACAAAGAAGAAUUUUUCAGAUUAAAAGACUGCAUGAUAUCAAAUGCACUUAAUCACCUAAAUUUUAUCUUUACAUCAAAUGAAGCAAAAUGGGGCCUUCAGUUUAUGUGACCAAGCACCAGCAACCACAAAAUAUCCUUAUGAACAAUAGAAACAAAUUGUAAGU